AUUGAACGCUGUCGGCAUGCCUUACACAUGCAAGUCGAACGGCAGCACGGGUGCUUGCACCUGGUGGCGAGUGGCGAACGGGUGAGUAAUACAUCGGAACAUGUCCUGUAGUGGGGGAUAGCCCGGCGAAAGCCGGAUUAAUACCGCAUACGAUCUACGGAUGAAAGCGGGGGACCUUCGGGCCUCGCGCUAUAGGGUUGGCCGAUGGCUGAUUAGCUAGUUGGUGGUGUAAAGGCCUACCAAGGCGACGAUCAGUAGCUGGUCUGAGAGGACGACCAGCCACACUGGGACUGAGACACGGCCCAGACUCCUACGGGAGGCAGCAGUGGGGAAUUUUGGACAAUGGGCGAAAGCCUGAUCCAGCAAUGCCGCGUGUGUGAAGAAGGCCUUCGGGUUGUAAAGCACUUUUGUCCGGAAAGAAAUCCUUGGCCCUAAUACGGUCGGGGGAUGACGGUACCGGAAGAAUAAGCACCGGCUAACUACGUG
RNAcentral lists this ribosomal RNA (486 nucleotides) under uncultured bacterium. Its description in RNAcentral is "partial 16S ribosomal RNA". It matches the Rfam family "Bacterial small subunit ribosomal RNA", at positions 30 to 507 of the family's 1533-position model. The record is from RNAcentral.